RNAcentral lists this ribosomal RNA (485 nucleotides) under uncultured bacterium. RNAcentral describes it as "partial 16S ribosomal RNA". It matches the Rfam family "Bacterial small subunit ribosomal RNA", at positions 28 to 507 of the family's 1533-position model. The record is from RNAcentral.
GAUGAACGCUGACAGAAUGCUUAACACAUGCCAGUCUUUGGCGAAGCUGUGCUUGCACCGCCUAGCCAAGGCGGACGGGUGAGUAACGCGUAAGGAACUUGCCCUGCAGUCAGGGAUAACAGACGGAAACGACUGAUAAGACCUGGUAAAGUCAGGCGGACUCAUGUCCAGCCUGAUGAAAAGAGAUGCUGCAGGAGAGCCUUGGGUCCUAUUAGCUUGUUGGUGGGGUAACGGCCCACCAAGGCGAUGAUAGGUAGCCGGCCGGGGAGGGUGGACGGCGACACGGGAACUGAGAAGCGGUCAGGACUCCUAAGGGAGGCAGCAGUGGGGAAUCUGACGCAAUGGGCGGGAGCCUGACGGAGCAAGGGCGCGUAAGUGAUGAAGGUCUACGGAUCGAAAAAAUAUGUUAUGAGGGAAGAACAAAUGGGUAAGGAAAUAUGCACGUCUUGACGGUACCUAAUCAGAAAGCCACGGCUAACUACGUG